GUCUACGGCCAUGCCACCCAGAACAAGCCCGAUCCCAUCUGAUCUCGGAAGCUAAGCAGGGUUGGGCCUGGUUAGUACUUGGAUGGGAGACCACCUAGAAAGACCAGGUGCUAUAGGUG
Molecule: non-coding RNA, 119 nt
Organism: Pteropus alecto (black flying fox)
Lineage: Eukaryota; Metazoa; Chordata; Mammalia; Chiroptera; Pteropodidae
Source: Rfam